AGGGAGGAGGGCGAGCUCCCUGCCGUCUUCCGCGGUCCCGAGCCCUCGUCCUUCUCCAGCCCGAGGUCAGAGAGAAGUCAUCAAGUUAAGAUGAGGUCAUGACAGUGGACCCUAAUCCAAUAUGACCUGGGUCCUUACAAGAAGAGAAGAGACAUGCACAGAGGGAAGAUGAAAUAAAGACACAGAGGGAGAACACCCCAUGACAGUGGAGGCAGAGAUUGGAGUGAUGAUCUACAAGCCAAAGAACUCCAAGAAUUACUGACAACAUCAUAAACUAAGAGAAUGACCUGGAAGAGAUUCUCCCGAGACCCUUGCCCUGCCCAUGCCCUGCCAAGACACUGAUUUUGGACUUCCAGCCUCCAGAAUUAUGAGAAUAAAUUUCUGUUGUUUUAA
Balaenoptera ricei (Rice's whale) is the source of this 393-nucleotide long non-coding RNA. RefSeq lists it as uncharacterized. The transcript is spliced from 2 exons. Lineage: Eukaryota; Metazoa; Chordata; Mammalia; Artiodactyla; Balaenopteridae. The record is from RefSeq and is a predicted model, not a curated record.